RNAcentral lists this long non-coding RNA (466 nucleotides) under Homo sapiens (human). RNAcentral's name for it is "long non-coding RNA NONHSAT159211.1". Lineage: Eukaryota; Metazoa; Chordata; Mammalia; Primates; Hominidae. The record is from RNAcentral.
GGGGCGCGGCGAGGAGUACUGUCCAUCUGCCUGAGCGCCGUGGCCACGGCCACGGGGGCCGAGGGCAAAAGGAAGCUGCAGAUCGGGGUCAAGAAGCGGGUGGACCACUGUCCCAUCAAAUCGCGCAAAGGGGAUGUCCUGCACAUGCACUACACGGGGAAGCUGGAAGAUGGGACAGAGUUUGACAGCAGCCUGCCCCAGAACCAGCCCUUUGUCUUCUCCCUUGGCACAGGCCAGGUCAUCAAGGGCUGGGACCAGGGGCUGCUGGGGAUGUGUGAGGGGGAAAAGCGCAAGCUGGUGAUCCCAUCCGAGCUAGGGUAUGGAGAGCGGGGAGCUCCCCCAAAGAUUCCAGGUGGUGCAACCCUGGUGUUCGAGGUGGAGCUGCUCAAAAUAGAGCGACGAACUGAGCUGUAACCAGACUGGGGAGGGGCAGGGGGAGAGGCCCCCAUCAGGGACCAGACUGUUC